RNAcentral lists this ribosomal RNA (419 nucleotides) under uncultured bacterium. RNAcentral describes it as "bacterial SSU rRNA". It matches the Rfam family "Bacterial small subunit ribosomal RNA", at positions 39 to 455 of the family's 1533-position model. The record is from RNAcentral.
GGCCGCGGGAAUUCGAUUCAGGCCUAACACAUGCAAGUCGAGCGAACCCUUCGGGGUGAGCGGCGGACGGGUGAGUAACGCGUGGGUAACCUGCCCUGUACACACGGAUAACAUACCGAAAGGUAUGCUAAUACGAGAUAAUAUGUAAUGAUCGCAUGGUUGAUACAUCAAAGCUCCGGCGGUACAGGAUGGACCCGCGUCUGAUUAGCUAGUUGGUGAGGUAAUGGCUCACCAAGGCGACGAUCAGUAGCCGACCUGAGAGGGUGAUCGGCCACAUUGGAACUGAGACACGGUCCAAACUCCUACGGGAGGCAGCAGUGGGGAAUAUUGCACAAGGGGCGAAAGCCUGAUGCAGCAACGCCGCGUGAGCGAAAGAGGCCUUCGGGUCGUAAAGCUCUGUCCUCAAGGAAGAUAAUGAC